GACGAACGCUGGCGGCGUGCUUAACACAUGCAAGUCGUACGGUAAGGCCCUUUCGGGGGUCCACGAGUGGCGCACGGGUGAGCAACACGUGAGUAACCUGCCCACAACUUUGGGAUAACGCUAGGAAACUGGUGCUAAUACUGGAUAUGUGCCCCUGCUGCAUGGUGGGGGUUGGAAAGCUCCGGCGGUUGUGGAUGGACUCGCGGCCUAUCAGCUUGUUGGUGGGGUAGUGGCCUACCAAGGCGGCGACGGGUAGCCGGCCUGAGAGGGUGACCGGCCACAUUGGGACUGAGAUACGGCCCAGACUCCUACGGGAGGCAGCAGGGGGGAAUAUUGCACAAUGGGCGCAAGCCUGAUGCAGCAACGCCGCGUGCGGGAUGACGGCCUUCGGGUUGUAAACCGCUUUCAGCAGGGACGAAGCUUUUUGUGACGGUACCUGCAGAAGAAGCACCGGCUAACUACGUG
RNAcentral lists this ribosomal RNA (465 nucleotides) under uncultured bacterium. Its description in RNAcentral is "partial 16S ribosomal RNA". It matches the Rfam family "Bacterial small subunit ribosomal RNA", at positions 28 to 507 of the family's 1533-position model. The record is from RNAcentral.